This 493-nucleotide ribosomal RNA is filed under the name uncultured bacterium. RNAcentral describes it as "bacterial SSU rRNA". It matches the Rfam family "Bacterial small subunit ribosomal RNA", at positions 30 to 517 of the family's 1533-position model. The record is from RNAcentral.
AUUGAACGCUGGCGGCAUGCCUUACACAUGCAAGUCGAACGGUAACAGGUCUUCGGAUGCUGACGAGUGGCGAACGGGUGAGUAAUACAUCGGAACGUGCCCGAUCGUGGGGGAUAACGCAGCGAAAGCUGUGCUAAUACCGCAUACGAUCUACGGAUGAAAGCGGGGGAUCGCAAGACCUCGCGCGGACGGAGCGGCCGAUGGCAGAUUAGGUAGUUGGUGGGAUAAAAGCUUACCAAGCCGACGAUCUGUAGCUGGUCUGAGAGGACGACCAGCCACACUGGGACUGAGACACGGCCCAGACUCCUACGGGAGGCAGCAGUGGGGGAAUUUUGGACAAUGGGGGAAACCCUGAUCCAGCCAUGCCGCGUGCAGGAUGAAGGCCUCCGGGUUGUAAACUGCUUUUGUACGGAACGAAAAGGUCCUUUCUAAUAAAGAGGGCUCAUGACGGUACCGUAAGAAUAAGCACCGGCUAACUACGUGCCAGCAGCCG